UUGUACAUUACUAAUAUAUGGGAGCUGGGGAGAAAAAAGGGAAAAGUAUAAAAGCAAUUAAACUAAAUUAGAAAGCAAGCACUUGCAAGUUAGAGAAAAAUAAAACUUAAGAAUGGAAUAAAACAAAGUCUGAUUGCUAUCAAAAAAUAAAGAAAGAAAUUAUACAUAUAAAUUUUGAACAAUAAAUGCAAUCUUUUCAAUUUGCAUACCCCAGAAAAGAUCAAUAUAUGCCACAACCUAAUUGCAGUCGCACCAAAAUAGUUAACUUUUUCACAUCCUCACUUCCAUUGUCUCAACACGAAAAAAGUAAUAAUAAUAAUAAUAA
This 325-nucleotide unclassified non-coding RNA is filed under the name Hevea brasiliensis (rubber tree). The record is from RNAcentral. Lineage: Eukaryota; Viridiplantae; Streptophyta; Magnoliopsida; Malpighiales; Euphorbiaceae.